Molecule: ribosomal RNA, 269 nt
Filed under: uncultured Oscillibacter sp.
Lineage: Bacteria; Bacillati; Bacillota; Clostridia; Eubacteriales; Oscillospiraceae
Description: partial 16S ribosomal RNA
Rfam family: Bacterial small subunit ribosomal RNA
Source: RNAcentral
AUUCGUCCAAUUGAAGCAGAGGACAGUGGCGGACGGGUGAGUAACGCGUGAGGAACCUGCCUUUCAGAGGGGGACAACAGUUGGAAACGACUGCUAAUACCGCAUGACACAUUGGGGUCGCAUGGCCCUGAUGUCAAAGAUUUAUCGCUGAAAGAUGGCCUCGCGUCUGAUUAGCUAGUUGGUGAGGUAACGGCCCACCAAGGCGACGAUCAGUAGCCGGACUGAGAGGUUGACCGGCCACAUUGGAACUGAGACACGGUCCAAACUCC